CUUGUCUGAUAGGCUCGCUCUUAACGGCUAUACCCCUUCUUAUAUUGUCAUAAUAAAAAAAAGACCUACAAUAUCGUUUUUGAGAACAGUGAUUAUUCGUAUAAAGUUAGCCUCGAUGAAUUUUAUUUGUCGUAUACAGCAGAGGCCUUUACUAUUAAGGCUGCUUUAGAUUAUGUUUUGAAUCAAGACUCUAAAAAAAACCCACGGAUUUGAUAUUUUCUCCGAUUGUAAAUCUGUUUUGGAGGCUAUUAGAAAUAAUCAGCUUAACAUUUGUGCCGUCUCGUAUUGGCAUUAAAGGUAAUGAAGUAGCUGAUUCACUGGCCAAGGAAGCUGCAUCAAAGAGGAAGAUAAGAAUUUAUAUAUACCGAUAUGAGAUUUAAGAAGAAUGUUUAAGUCAGAAACAUGGAAAUAUAUUCAGGAUACAAUAAGGAGGCAGUGUAGUAAAAUAAAAUUUGAUUUUGAUAAUUAUUAUAUGAAUAAAAUGAAACCUUGGUUUUGUGAAUUAAAUGCGGAGCAGUA
Molecule: long non-coding RNA, 519 nt
Organism: Acromyrmex echinatior (Panamanian leafcutter ant)
Lineage: Eukaryota; Metazoa; Arthropoda; Insecta; Hymenoptera; Formicidae
Source: RefSeq, a predicted model, not a curated record